GUCGGUGACAAAUCGUGAGGAAAACUCCCGUUCCCAUCCCGAACACGGUCGAAAAGACUCAUUGAGGCGAAAAUACUUGGCGGGCCACUGCCUGGGAAGAUAGCUAGUUGCCGACA
This 116-nucleotide ribosomal RNA is filed under the name Candidatus Gastranaerophilales bacterium HUM_9. Lineage: Bacteria; Bacillati; Candidatus Melainabacteria; Candidatus Gastranaerophilales. The record is from RNAcentral. RNAcentral also lists the same sequence under 1 other name.